Molecule: long non-coding RNA, 709 nt
Organism: Pan paniscus (pygmy chimpanzee)
Lineage: Eukaryota; Metazoa; Chordata; Mammalia; Primates; Hominidae
Source: Ensembl
GGUCUGGAAAGAUACAUAAAUUUCCACUAGAAGAGGAGAAAGGCAUAAGACAGACCUCAGCUGUCGUUCAGGAAAGGAAGGGCCGCCAGUCUGGAGUGACAACGAGGAAGAGCUGCAUCCUGGGACAAUUUUAUGGCUGAUGAGAACAUAUCUUGAUCCACUCCACAUUUCAGUGUAACCUUGCAGUAUACCCGUAACACUGGAGGCACACAUCUCUUCCCUAGCAGCCCUUAAGAACCUGAAUGGUAGAGAGAGGGAGGAUCACAAAAGUUUGCUUCCAGCUCUAUACUCACCCACAGCCUGCAGACAGAUCAUCAGAAAAUUCAACUUUCAAGUGAGGAUCGUAAGCCAGAGAGUGCAGGACUCCACACCAGGGCAGAUGACCUGUGGAUUCCAGAAGCUCUCAGGAAUUUUGCAGAUUUCUCAAGGGCAACCCUGUCCAUAGAACGGGGAAAAGAACAAGCCCAUGCCUCCAAAGAGAAACUUCACAGUUCGCCUAAGUUUAACCUCUAGUGAUUCAUUCUCUUGUGUGUGGGGGCCUUCCGAUCUCUGGGAGCUCCCUCAAAGGCAAACUCCCAUGCAGAGGGCAUUUCUGAGGACUGAAAUCCAGAGUGUAAACUCUGCUCAAACAUGGACACAGAAAGGCAGACAGCAGGAGAAAUCAUUUUCCUACAAAGAGAAAACAGAUGUGUCUUGGAAGAGAAAAUGA